GGAAGGUGGGAGUGAACGUCAAAUCAUCAUGCCCCUUAUGUUCUGGGCUACACACGUGCUACAAUGGCCGGUACAGACGGAGCAAAGCCGCGAGGUGGAGCAAAUCCUAAAAAGCCGGUCUCAGUUCGGAUUGCAGGCUGCAAUUCGCCUGCAUGAAGUCGGAAUCGCUAGUAAUCGCAGGUCAGCAUACUGCGGUGAAUACGUUCCCGGGCCUU
RNAcentral lists this ribosomal RNA (215 nucleotides) under uncultured Pelotomaculum sp. RNAcentral's name for it is "partial 16S ribosomal RNA". It matches the Rfam family "Bacterial small subunit ribosomal RNA", at positions 1168 to 1382 of the family's 1533-position model. The record is from RNAcentral. Lineage: Bacteria; Bacillati; Bacillota; Clostridia; Eubacteriales; Desulfotomaculaceae.